Molecule: long non-coding RNA, 3758 nt
Organism: Betta splendens (Siamese fighting fish)
Lineage: Eukaryota; Metazoa; Chordata; Actinopteri; Anabantiformes; Osphronemidae
Source: Ensembl
CUUGAUGGGGUCUAUAAAGUUAGAUUUGGACCUUCCUUCAAUCACACAGAAGUCAACGGCUUCAGUCCAGGGUCCAUUAACGUUGACGCUUCUCUGAUAUUCAACAACGUGUCCAAUCUAUCGAAUGACACUUCUGCAGCUGCAGCUACGGCUUUAGUAGAGGCUGUUUCCAGCUCAAAUUUUUCUUUGUCUAUAAACUCAUCAUCAAUUACUGCAGCUGGUAAGCUUAUUAUUAAUGAUCAAUAAAAAGAAACCUGCGAAACAAAGUGUAAUAAAUUAGAUUUGGAAAGAGAUUUAACAUCACUUCUUGUUACUUUCAGUUUUUACACCUACUUUACCUCCAGUCACGACAACAACAACAACAACAACAGGUAUCAUCAACAUAAACAGUCCAUGAAACAUUAACUCUGCUCAGUUUGAUGGUUUAAAUACUGAAUUAGGUGUAAUUAACUUCACAUUUUGUGUUUUGAUGUCACAAUGACCAGAUUUCUAUUAUCACGUGAUUUACAUAUGUUAGAGGAAAUCUAAAUAAAUUUGCACCUUGCAGCAACGACCAACUCCACCGCCCAGCCGCCGCCACCUACCAACUCCACCACACAGCCGCCUCCACCCACCAACUCCACCACACAGCCGCCUCCACCCAUCAACUCCACCACACAGCCAUCGCCACCCACCAACUCAACCACCCAGCCGUCGCCACCCACCAACUCAACCACCCAGCCGCCUCCACCCACCAACUCCACCACACAGCCGCCUCCACCCACCAACUCCACCACACAGCCGCUUCCACCCACCAACUCCACCACACAGCCGCUUCCACCCACCAACUCCACCACACAGCCGCUUCCACCCACCAACUCCACCACACAGCCGCUUCCACCCACCAACUCAACCACACAGCCGCUAUCCACCAUACCAACACCAACAACUGUCACCACGGUUACUACACCCACUACCACCCCAGCAACUACAACAGCUCCGACCGUGGGGACAGUGUUUCGUUUGCUUUUUAGUCUACAGCAACAAUUUUCAUCAGCGCUUUCGACCCCAGGUUCACCACAGUUCACCGAACUAAAGGGUAACAUAGAGACACAGCUUACUCCAGUCUAUGCACUAAAGUAUGGAAGACUCUUCGUUCGAUUCAUUGUCUUUGGCUUCAGUCCAGGAUCUGUUGUGGUAAACUCUACUGUGGAACUCAACGAUACCACGACAAAUGCCACUGAUGUAGCUACAACUUUACAGGCUGCUGUUACCAGCGGGAAUCUUACCCUCAAUAUCAGCGCAUCAUCUAUAAAUGCAACUUUUGUCCCAGCUCCACCAGCUACAACUACAACUACACCAGUGGUGAUUACAUCUGCAUUCCCAGGCAACUCAACCGUACAGCCGACAACAGCGGCCAACGUCACCUCACCAACACCAACAAAUGUCACCACGGUUACUACCCCCACUACCCCCCCAGCAACUACAACAGCUCCGACCGUGGGGAGAGUGUUUCUUUUGUUUUUUAGUCUACAGCAACAAUUUUCAUCAGCGCUUUCGACCCAAGGUUCACCAGAGUUCACCCAACUAAAGAGUAACAUAGAGUCACAGCUUACUCCAGUCUAUGCACGAAAGUAUGGAAGACUCUUCGUUCGAUUCUUUGUCUUUGCCUUCAGUUCAGGAUCUGUUGUGGUAAACUCUACUGUGGAACUCAACGAUACCACGACAAAUGCCACUGAUGUGGCUGCAACUUUACAGGCUGCUGUUACCAGCGGGAAUCUUACCCUCAAUAUCAGCGCGUCAUCUAUAAAUGCAACUCUUGUCUUAACUACAACUACAACUGCACCAGUGGUGACUACAACUGCAUUGCCAGGCACCUCCACUACACUGGCGAGUGCCACGACGCCCACCGCCACCACAACCACCACCGCACCGGCGAGUGCCACGACAUCCACCACCACUGCUGCUUCAACUGUAGCUUCCACAACAACACCUGCUCCCACCACCACCACCCCCAAUACAAAUGCUCCUUCACCCAGUGAAGGAUUCCUUUUCUUUAAAUUUAGCCUCAACCAAAUCUUCACCUCAGACCUGGCUGAUAAUACCUCAGCUGGUUAUCAGGCCCUGGCUGGAAAAGUGGUCACAGAGGUAAGUUGUCUGCACAAGAUAAUUGUUUUAAACAUUUUCCUACCUUUUUUAGCAGUAUCAAUUUAUACUAGGGAAAUUACUAUCAUUAUUAUUUUUUAUUUCUGCCCAGUCUGUUUUCGUUAGACAGCCUUUAAGUGUCACAUCCUAAUUUUUGUCAAAAUGAUAAAUUCAAACUAAAAAUCUUUCACUAUAAAAACUGCGCACAGAGCAGUUUACAGAAUUCAAUGAAUUAACGUCCAUACAUUUUUCCCUAAAUAAUCCUGUUACAACCUCAUUCUCGUUCUAAUUAUAAUGGUUCAGGUUACUGUUCUAAAGGAAUUCUUUAUGCUCAAUGCUCUUUAUUGUUGUGGUUUUGCUGAAAUGACAAAAAUGUUCUCUUUCAGUUAAACAGAGUGGGACAACUGCUGUACCCAUCUUUCCGUCGCUCCCGGGUUAAUUACUUCCUGUAAGACAAAAUUUCUGUGACAUACUUUUGCCACAUAUUUUCUUGUUACUUUUUUUUUUUAAUCAUGUGGUUUUUCCUCUAUCAAUGCAGGAGUGGAUCAGUAGUAGGCAACACAACUCUUGUCUUUGACAAUCAGUCCUCAACUCCUGCUGCAAGCAACGCGUCUAAUGCUUUUGCUCAACAACUUUUGAACAGCACCGUCUUGAACUUCAUCCCAGGCAGCUUCUCUGCAAGUAAGUUACAGUAUUGUAAAGCCUAAUCCUAAUCUGUCAGUUUGACAUCCAGUUGUCUAAUAUGUUUAAGUAAAUUUUGGGGUUCAAUUGGAAGAUAACUUUUUUUUUUCUUGUUUUAGAUUCAUCAAGCAGCCUUUGGUCCACUUUUGGUUCAUUGUUGGCCCUCUGUCUAACACUAUUCACUAUGGGACAGCUGCUGACGGACUUCUAAUCAGUGGCCAAGGAAACUGACUGACUAAAUACACUGGUGAAAGCUACUGACCAAGUGUGGGAGGACAUGCCCAGUAACCAAAAUCAAGUUUGCACUAUGAAAUUUACCAGUUCAAUACAUUGUGGUAAAUAGAUGUGCCAAGAGUCCCACACUAAGACAUUUACUCAGGGUUUUAAGAUCUAAAUUUCUCUUAGACACUUGCCUUUUAAUAAGUACAUAUAAUGGUAAUGAAGAAUAUGUUAUCUAAAUGCCUAAUAUUUUGUUUUUCAUUGGCAUUAAUAUUUAAAAAUAUAAGGACAUGAUUAUAAAAACAUGAUAAGUAUUUAUAUAUUUACACAGUUUGGCAGCAUCCACUUUACAUCCACAAACACAGUUGCUGUUUGGUAAAAUGCAUAUAAAAAAACAAUUACAGUUUGCUGCAAUUAAUCACGUUUCACAGAAUCAUCUGAGAUCUAAACACGAGGCAGUUGAUCUGCCUUUUAUUGAGAUGCUGACUGCUAUUAUCAUACUGUCAAAUAAGAGUACGAUGAUACAACAAAUUGUUGAUUUUAAUAUAUUUGAUGAAAGUCCUAAAUGUAUUGUAUGUUGUUUGAAAAGGGAAAUGAAACAAAUGUCAAUCAGAAAAUUAUUAAAAUGUUUACCCAUAAAAUAGCUUUGUUGGGUUUUUACUACCUACAUUUCCAAGGCUUUAUUUGACUUUUUUUUUAAUAAAGAUUAAUAGAGUAAUAGGGUGGGGUAUUCU